UUUUUUUUUUUUUUUUUUUUUUUUUCCGGUUCCAGAUACUAAUCCUGAUUCCAGGAUUCAUUCCACAGCCAACCUUAGGUUCUAGAGUCAGAGGUGGAUUUUUUUCUCAGCUCUUCUACUUAUGAACUAUUCAACAUUGAUCAAGUGUCAUGACCUCUCUGAACCUUGGGUGUAAAAUGAAGAUUACAGUAACUUGCUGUGCCACUUUGCUGAAAGGAUUGAAAGGAUUACAUGACGUAAAGUAGUAUACUUUUGGCAUGGUGCACAACAUGUGGUAAGCACUUUAUGAAUAUUAACUGCUACCAAUAAUAAUAUCAAUAGCCAUGAGUAGUACCUAAUAGAGAAGACCAGUGCAUGUUGAGAAGGAAAAUGAAUUCUUUUUGUCAAUUAAAAAGGCAAAAGUCAUGAGCUGCUAAGGUUUAGCUUUCCUUGUGUGUGCAGUGGAGUCUGUAGAGUGCCAGAAUCCCAGAGAUGGAAUGAAUUUUGGAAUAUAAUUGCUUUCCCAACCCUCAGUUUAAACCCCUGUAGAAAGCCCAGUGGUCCUGCCUACUCCCAGCUUAUUACCUCUGCUGUCUAUGAACUCACCAGAUCCUAAGAAAGCUCAGUACUUUCUAGAAAAACAACAGUGAUCUUUAGUGCCCUGUUUCCUAAGAUGUGGUACAAGGAUCUCUACUCUUAGAAGAUGCUCCUCAAGAAAAGGAUAUGAGCAAUGUCAAAAGCUCUAACCACCCAUUUCCUUAGAAAUAUUCUUCAAAGCCUCUGAGAAGUGCUGCAGGUGGAGGAGGUGGGUAUAAAAAAAAAGUUUGGACUUUGUUGAACCUAAGGCUCUCUCCAAACUCAUCUGACCCAAACAAACAAAUAAGAGCAACAACAACCAUAACAAACAGGCAAAAAGCCCUAUUAACAAUCUUGUUGAGCUUUUGCUUUUUUUCAUCUGGAAUCACUUUGGGGACUUCUUCUGUGGUAUCAAGUUUUCUCAUCUAGCUGUUCAUGAAUUACUAUUAUUUUUUGCAGUAUGCCAAUAUGACAUUUUAGAUUCAUUUGAGUUCGAAUAGUCCUGUUGUCCUUUUAGAAAAAUAGACAUUUUCCAACACUCAGUGCUGGUCAUAGUCAAUAAGGACAGGUGGAAUUGUGCUGAUUGUUGACAGCACAUAUAUUCUGAUUGGUCUGUGCCUGUACCACACUGCUUGUUAAGUAUUUUGAAUAUUACUUCUGCUAACAACUCCUCAUUCCUCAAGACUGUCCCCUCUAGAAACCCAUCACUCUCCGUGUCUCAGUGCCAUAAAUCAGCCUCCCAAGGCUUCAGCCCAUCUCUUCUCCAGAAGACUCUCUAUUCAGCUCAGACCCUGUCCAAGGUCUCCACUUGCUUCUCAUACAAGUCAGUGACUUCAGUGUCUCUCCCCCCGUACCCAGAAAAUGUGCCUGAAAAGAGGGGUUGUGAUAAGCCACAAGUCCAGCACAACAGUAGGUCUUCCAAAAUUGAUAUUUGACCUUGAGAUUCAUGCAUGCAAGAGCGCACACACGCACACACACACAAACACACACACACACACCCCUUCCAGAUCCCCCCCAACACAUCCCUUCUAGAGCCCCCAAAGCAGAUACCCAACCAUCACCCCUUCCCCAUUGCAGUAGGGGUCUCACUUCUCUCCAGGAGGUGAAUCCACUGAGAGAACUUCCAGAGCCCUCUCUCGGGGAGGGGAGGAAGGUUAAAAGUGUACAGGGAGCAUUCUUUCUGGCUCCACUCAGAAGCAGUCAGGGCAAAGGGAGUGGGGUUUCUGGUUUCAAAGGGAGCCCAAGUAAAGCUGCUUCUUUGAGUUGCAGCCCCUCUUAGGGAAAUGAAGAGCAUUUUUUUCCCCUCUCCUUCGGCAGGAAGAGCCAUAAAUCAUGAACGUUUCUCUGGUUGUGCAAGUGGGGGUGGGAUUAAGAUUGUUUGGUUGGAUUUGUUUGAGUGUGUGUCUCUGGGUCUUCAUUCCCCUCCCCCUUCAUAAACAUCAGCUUGUAAGUUCUCAUCCUCUAGAGGACACACCAAAGGCAUCAUGUUAAAUAUUUAGAGCAGGAAACCACCUUACGCGGCUGGAUGGGAAAAGUCAUCUCAGAAGAGGUGCUCAUGGGGGGGCCUCCCAUCUCUCUCCUUACCAUGCAAAUGAGAAGGCACCCUUCCUUUUGAUACCCAGGUGUCACCUCCAACUCUUCUUGAGAAAGGAGGGAGGCUUAGCCCGGCGGCCGGGGAGGGAAAGUGUUUCUUCUUAAAGUAAGGUUUUAUAGGCCAAGGUAAUCGAUAAAAUACAUUUUUAAUAGCCUUUUUCUUGUGAGUAAGGUAGUUAUGUGGCUCAGUGAAGGGAGAGAAACAUGGUUGGAGGAAGAAUCUGCCAAAUCAUCUACCAGAGGACCUUCCACAUCCAGGGGUCUGUUUGUGCUGAAAUACAACCCCGCUCAUGUACUUCCCUGUGCAAAACCUUCUAUGGCUCCUUACUGCCUAGGGACGAAACUUCAAGUUAGCACCUAGGGAACGGAAGAGCCCUCAGAAUGUGGCUCAGGUCUAAUUUUUCUUCUCCUGCAUGUCUUUUCUUUCAUCCACGGCUCUAAUUUCUUCAAAAUUCUUUGAUUAUCCAUGUAUUUCCAUAUCUUAGUCUUUUUGCUCUCUAGGUCUAGAAUGAUGUUUGCUUCACCUCUCUGUUAUAUCCCUGGAAGAGUCCAGACUGACUCAUUAGUUGUGAAAAUUUUUAACAGUAAACAGCUGUAACUGGUAGAUACAUUGGCUCAUGUAACUGGGAAGUUAAGAAACAUGGACUUCAAGUAAGGCUUCAUCCAGGAGCUCAAACAACGGCAUGAAGGGGUCAGUUUUCCUCAACUCUUUAUGUCAGACACCAUGUGACAACCCCUGCUAACUCUUAGAUCUCCCUUAAUGGAAGUAGAACAGACCUAGUCAUUCUAGACCUCAUGUAUUUACUCUACACCAUCCAGGAGAAAAUAGACUCUGUUUAGGUAACUCCUACACAAGUUUUGGGAGUCAGUUUCAAUGGCCUCAGUUAAAUCUUGUGUCAAUCCCUACAUGAACAGCUGGGACUGGGAGAUCAUAUCCAUUUGCCUUUGUACAUCUCAUUUCCUCUUUAUAGAACACUUCUUGCAAAACUCCUAUUUGACCCUCAAAACCUGGGCCAAAUGUCCCAUAACUCUGUUAAGCUUCCCACUCCAUUCUAACUUCUCUUUAGUGAGUUUUUUGCUAUGUUCCCAAUACACACUGUUUAUUUUUCUAUAUGUGCACAAUAUAUUGCCUUAUUGUCACAUAUCGAAGGAUGUGAGUUCUUCUAGGGUACUGACCACACCGGAUGCAUAUCAAUAGCCUGCAUGUUGACUCACAUACUGCCAGACAUGAGACAGUCUAGAAAUAUCUGUUGAAUGAAUUCAUGUGCAGUGUGCAUGGACAUCUGCUGUCACCCCACCUGGGUUCUGAGUCAUCCAUGAAGAAAGAGGUCCUUGAACUCUCAGAAUCAGUUUUGACCUGGAGUUUAAUCAGGUCUUAAGUAAACCUCUGAGCACCAGCCCACUUUU
Molecule: long non-coding RNA, 3555 nt
Filed under: Sus scrofa (pig)
Lineage: Eukaryota; Metazoa; Chordata; Mammalia; Artiodactyla; Suidae
Description: lncRNA (ENSSSCG00000054978.1)
Source: RNAcentral